RNAcentral lists this non-coding RNA (24 nucleotides) under Arabidopsis thaliana (thale cress). Lineage: Eukaryota; Viridiplantae; Streptophyta; Magnoliopsida; Brassicales; Brassicaceae. The record is from RNAcentral.
AGAGUGAGUUUAUAUAGAGUAGUC